CUAGGCACAACUUCUUCAUCCUUCCUUCUUAAUCCUAGGCACAACUUCUUCAUCCAUGAAACUGAUUGAUGGAUUUUCCGUUCACAAGUACGAUUUUUUCUUACAAAUUCCUAUAUGUACAUUAUCUCACUCACUCAACCAUCUUUAUCAUUAGAUCUUAUAACUUCUAAUUAUUUGUGUUUGAAGAAGUGAGGAGUUAUUAUAGCGUUUCUAACAUCUCACAUUCACCCAUGUUCCUACCCACUCAUUUAUUCGAAGAUUUGUCUUUUCAAUGUUUAGUAACAAUGUAACAUUUUUACCUAACAACUUAAAUUUUUUUGAUCAUUUUUGUUGGAUGAAUCUUAUUUCAAUCUUUUUGAGUUCAAGAUAAUAUUUUUUAUAUGAUUUCUCAUUAUACCUUAUUUCAAAUUUCUUGGUGUUAUUUUUUGUAUUCAUGUUCACUAUGUCGCCGUGUCAAACUAAUAUUGGUAAAAAUGAAUUUUUUUCUACAAAUUUUAGUUCAAUAUCAUAUAUCUUAUAACUUCUUUUGCAUUUUUUGUGCCUUAGUUGUUAUAUUUUACACUAUAGUGUCUAUUCAACAUUGUUACUUUCUCUGACUAUCCCAUUUUUUUCUUAGUCUCUCUCUUUCUUUCAUCAUCUAUUGACUUUUCCAUUCUAUCUUUUCAUCUAGCUAGGUUUCUCACAACCUUUUAUGGUUUGGAAGCAAAAGAAGAGUGAAAAUGUGUUACAAUGGUCAUGGAAGCUUCAAAGAUAAAAUAGAUAAGUCAACUACCAAUGAACCAACUUUAAGGCUUAUAGUACUAUAUAGAUUCAAACCCAUCUUGGCUUAUGUUAAACAUUAAUCCUUCC
Molecule: long non-coding RNA, 849 nt
Filed under: Lupinus angustifolius (narrow-leaved blue lupine)
Lineage: Eukaryota; Viridiplantae; Streptophyta; Magnoliopsida; Fabales; Fabaceae
Description: long non-coding RNA (LANG_LNC000641)
Source: RNAcentral